CCUACGGGAGGCAGCAGUGGGGAAUAUUUGACAAUGGGGGGAACCCUGAUCCAGCCAUGCCGCGUGUGUGAAGAAGGCCCUCGGGUUGUAAAGCACUUUCAGUGAGGAAGAACGCCUGGUGGUUAAUACCCAUCAGGAAAGACAUCACUCACAGAAGAAGCACCGGCUAACUCCGUGCCAGCAGCCGCGUUAAUACGGAGGGUGCGAGCGUUAAUCGGAAUUACUGGGCGUAAAGCGCGCGUAGGUGGCUUGAUAAGCCGGUUGUGAAAGCCCCGGGCUCAACCUGGGAACGGCAUCCGGAACUGUCAAGCUAGAGUGCAGGAGAGGAAGGUAGAAUUCCCGGUGUAGCGGUGAAAUGCGUAGAGAUCGGGAGGAAUACCAGUGGCGAAGGCGGCCUUCUGGACUGACACUGACACUGAGGUGCGAAAGCGUGGGUAGCAAACAGGAUUAGAUACCCUGGUAGUC
This 465-nucleotide ribosomal RNA is filed under the name Vreelandella stevensii. RNAcentral describes it as "partial 16S ribosomal RNA". It matches the Rfam family "Bacterial small subunit ribosomal RNA", at positions 338 to 795 of the family's 1533-position model. The record is from RNAcentral. Lineage: Bacteria; Pseudomonadati; Pseudomonadota; Gammaproteobacteria; Oceanospirillales; Halomonadaceae.